This 500-nucleotide ribosomal RNA is filed under the name uncultured bacterium. RNAcentral's name for it is "partial 16S ribosomal RNA". It matches the Rfam family "Bacterial small subunit ribosomal RNA", at positions 899 to 1397 of the family's 1533-position model. The record is from RNAcentral.
ACUCAAAUGAAUUGACGGGGGCCCGCACAAGCGGUGGAGCAUGUGGUUUAAUUCGAUGCAACGCGAAGAACCUUACCUACUCUUGACAUCCUGCGAAUCUAUCCGAGAAGAUGGAGUGCCGAAAGGAGCGCAGAGACAGGUGCUGCAUGGCUGUCGUCAGCUCGUGUUGUGAGAUGUUGGGUUAAGUCCCGUAACGAGCGCAACCCUUGCCCUUAGUUGCCAGCGAGUAAAGUUGGGGACUCUAAGGGGACUGCCGGUGAUGAACCGGAGGAAGGCGGGGAUGACGUCAAGUCAUCAUGGCCUUUAUGAGUAGGGCUACACACGUGCUACAAUGGGGCGUACAAAGGGAAGCCAACCUGCGAAGGGGAGCCAAUCCCAGAAAGCGUCUCGUAGUCCGGAUUGGAGUCUGCAACUCGACUCCAUGAAGUCGGAAUCGCUAGUAAUCGCGAAUCAGCACUGUCGCGGUGAAUACGUUCCCGGGCCUUGUACACACCGCCCGU